RNAcentral lists this long non-coding RNA (1146 nucleotides) under Cyanoderma ruficeps (rufous-capped babbler). RNAcentral's name for it is "lncRNA (ENSCRFG00000007589.1)". The record is from RNAcentral. Lineage: Eukaryota; Metazoa; Chordata; Aves; Passeriformes; Timaliidae.
GCGGGCCCGUCUUCACCGACUCCGGCAUCCACAUCAUCCUCCGCACUGAGUGACCCCACACUCCUCGGGAAAAUCCUCGGGAAUUCCCAGGGAAAAGCUUCGGGAAUUCCCAGGGAAAAUCCUUGGGGAUCCUCGGGAAUUUCAGGGGAAAGUCUUCGGGAUUUCCGGGGGGAAAAUCCUCGGGAAUUCCGGGGGAAAAUCUUCGGGAAUUUCAGGGGAAAAUCCUCGAAAAUCUUCGGGAAUUUCAGGGGAAAUCCUUGGGAAUUUCAGGGGGAAAAGCCUCAGGAAUUCCAGGGGAAAGUCCUUGGGAAUCCUCGGAAAUCCUCGGGAAUUCCGGAGGAAAAUCUUAGGGAAUCCUCGGGAAUUUCAGGGGAAAUCCUUGGGAAUUCUGGGGGAAAAUCCUCGGGGAAGUCCAGAGAAAUCCUUGGGAAAAUCCUCGGGAAUCCUCGGGAAUUUCAGGGGAAAAUCUUCAGGAAAUCCUCGGGAAUUCCAGGAGAAUCCUUGGGGAAAUCCAGGGGGAAAUCCUCGGGAAUUCCGGAGGAAAAUCUUAGGGAAUCCUUGGGAAUUCCAGGAGAAUCCUUGGGAAUUCUGGGGGAAAAUCUUCAGGAAUUCCAGGGGAAAACCCUCGGGAAUUCCAGGGGAAAACCCUCGGGAAUCCUCAGAAAUUCCCGGGGGGAAAUCCUUGGGAAUCUUCAGGAAUUUCAGGGGAAAAUCCUCAGGAAUUCCAGGGGAAAAUCCUUGGGAAUCCUCGGGAAUUUCAGGGAAAUCCUCGGGAAUCUUCAGGAAUUUCUGGGGGAAAAUCCUUGGGGAAAUCCAGGGGGAAAUCCUCGGGAAUUCCGGAGGAAAAUCUUAGGGAAUCCUUGGGAAUUCCGGGGGGAAAAUCCUUGGGAAUCCACGGGAGAGUUGUGGAGAUCUGUGGAAGUCUAUGGAAGUUCUCAGGAAUUCAUGAGAGUCCUUGGGAAUCCUGAGGAAUCCAGAGAAAUCCUUGGGAAUCUUCGGGAAUUCCAGGGGAAAAUCUUCAGGAAUCCUCGGGAAUUCCGGGGGAAAAUCUUCAGGAAUUCAGAGAAAUCCUUGGGAGCCCAGAGAAAUCCAGAGGAAUCUUUGGGAAUCCACGGGAGAGUUGUGGAAGUUCUCAGGAAUUCAUGA